RNAcentral lists this ribosomal RNA (253 nucleotides) under uncultured bacterium. RNAcentral describes it as "partial 16S ribosomal RNA". It matches the Rfam family "Bacterial small subunit ribosomal RNA", at positions 524 to 776 of the family's 1533-position model. The record is from RNAcentral.
UACGGGGGGGGCAAGCGUUGUUCGGAAUUACUGGGCGUAAAGGGCUCGUAGGCGGCCAACUAAGUCAGACGUGAAAUCCCUCGGCUUAACCGGGGAACUGCGUCUGAUACUGGAUGGCUCGAGUUUGGGAGAGGGAUGCGGAAUUCCAGGUGUAGCGGUGAAAUGCGUAGAUAUCUGGAGGAACACCGGUGGCGAAGGCGGCAUCCUGGACCGACAUUGACGCUGAGGCGCGAAAGCCAGGGGAGCAAACGGG